Long non-coding RNA from Chelonia mydas (Green sea turtle), 1164 nucleotides. RefSeq lists it as uncharacterized. Lineage: Eukaryota; Metazoa; Chordata; Testudines; Cheloniidae. The transcript has 4 exons. The record is from RefSeq and is a predicted model, not a curated record.
GGGGUCUGUGUCUCUCUGUAUGCUGCUUUUGCUGGGGACAGAACAGGAAUGGAGUCUUAGAACUUUUAAACCGAAGGAAAAUGCAGGCUAUUCCUUCUCCUGUGUAUCCUCCGCCACGCCCAGGAACGUCUCCCUCUUCUUCGGGAACGGGGUCUUUGUGAAGAUUCAAUCCCAGACCUGCUCUACGAACAGCUGCAAUACCUGGUUCCCUUCUGUCUCUACGUCUCUGUAUCCCUCCCUGCUUGUUCCCAGUGGCCCAGGGAACGACUGAGUGUCAAACUGGGCCGAUCAUCAACACCGUCUACACGGGAGGCCGGUGCCCGAUCUGCAUUGCCCCGGGUCAGAGCAGCUGUUCCAGCACGGAGACCCUGCAGUGCGAGGGCCGUGCCAGCCAGUGCAUUUCCAUCAGCGGGCAGAUCUCGGAAGAUAACAUCACGAUACCCUUUGCAGCCAGCAGCUGCGCUACCCCGAAUGCCUGCGAACUCAAGAAGGGCGAGAUUCUGAACUCGGGAGUGUUCACCUACACAAUAGCACAGACUGAGUGUUACACGCCCAGCAGUGCUCAGCGGAUGCUGGGCCCCGUCGUCCUGGGCAGCAUCUUGCCCAGUCUGGCUGGGCUCCUGGCAGUGAAAUUCCUCUCCUAACGCCCCCUCUGUGUUGCCCCCCCUCCGCCAGGGGGAGCCACCCCACAGCUGAAUGAUGCCCUCGUGGUCCGUGGGUCUCUCUCCUCUCCCCACACCCACCCACGCCUCAGUUUCCCCAUCUGUGCCCAAAGGAUAAUGAAGCUGAACUGCUUUUGCAAAGAUCCAGGGAGUCAGGGCCCCAGGCAAAGCCCAUUACAGCCAGAGUGGGAGGAGGGGGCGCGUGUGUCUCUGGACAGACUGUGACGUGCUGGGGAACAGCGCUGGGUCUUAUUGUAUUCCACAGCAGCCCCUGAGAGACCAGCGUGGGGACAGAACUGGGGACAGCCUGGGCUCCCAGCCCCCACUGCUCGACCCCAUCAGCCCCCACUCCUCUCCCAGAGCUGGGAUAGAACCCAGGAGUCCUGGCUCCCAGCCACCCCGCUCUAACCACGGCACACCACUCCCUUCGGAGAGCCAGGGAUAGAACCCAGGAGCCCUGACACCCAGCACUCCCUGAUUUAACGCUAUCUAUUUCCAGAAG